Molecule: ribosomal RNA, 254 nt
Filed under: uncultured bacterium
Lineage: Bacteria
Description: partial 16S ribosomal RNA
Rfam family: Bacterial small subunit ribosomal RNA
Source: RNAcentral
UAGAGUAACGCGUAGGUAACCUGCCUUGUAGCGGGGGAUAACUAUUGGAAACGAUAGCUAAUACCGCAUAACAAUGGAUGACCCAUGUCAUUUAUUUGAAAGGGGCAAAUGCUCCACUACAAGAUGGACCUGCGUUGUAUUAGCUAGUAGGUGAGGUAACGGCUCACCUAGGCGACGAUACAUAGCCGACCUGAGAGGGUGACCGGCCACAUUGGGACUGAGACACGGCCCAGACUCCUACGGGAGGCAGCAUG